RNAcentral lists this long non-coding RNA (369 nucleotides) under Carica papaya (papaya). Its description in RNAcentral is "long non-coding RNA (CPAP_LNC006258)". Lineage: Eukaryota; Viridiplantae; Streptophyta; Magnoliopsida; Brassicales; Caricaceae. The record is from RNAcentral.
AAUAAUCUAUGCCUUGGUCAGGACUUCUUGGUAUUUGUGGAGUUCUUACAGGGCUAUCUACUUUUUUAUCUUCAGGCGAAGUCCCUACUGAAACUUCCUCACUCUUUUACCCUCGUCAGCCAUGACCUCUAGGGCAUAACAACUCAACUUGAUAAAUCUCCAAGUGUAAUCGGCCACUAAUAGGCUUCUUUAACUCAGCUGCAUGAACUCCAUCUCCUUAUUAUGACAAAUAUGAAACAUGAAAAUAUUCAACAAUGAAUGCCUCUAAAAAUUGCUUCUAAGUGAUGGGAAUGGCCAGCGUAGUCUGCAUGAGCUCCCAUUAGUGCUCUUCCUCUCCUUCAAUCAUAUAAGUGGCAAGAACUACCUUUU